UUUUUUUUUUUUUUUUUUAAAGAAGGCUGAGUCAGAGCAAAAAGCUUGACAAUCAGCAUGUAUACAUUUGUCCCAGCCCUAAGUGCACAAUGUGGGAGGCCUUGAGCAUUGGGAGUAUGAGACACCAUAUGUUAUGCGGACUUUUUUUUGUUUGUACUAGAAUAGCAAUUAAGGUACUGCAGCUGAAACCAUCUUAAUCUUAAGUUAAAUAAGCACUUUUACCACCCCAUGCCGACAUCCACUUUUUUAGGCAUCCUAUUUCUUCUCCAAGAAGCUGAUGGUGAAUACUGUAACUUGAUAUUAACAUUGUCCAUUAAAUAAUUUUGUGGGAAGAUACUCGAUCUUAAUUGUUAACCAGUCAAUGGAAGUCUGGAACUAAGCAGAGGUAGUUACAUAUGAGAAUGGUAACUUGUUUUUUUUUAUAGAACUAGACUAGCUAAAUGAAGAAAAACAAGACACUAUACAUCUAUGCCAUGUUUUGUAGGCAUUAUGGCAUUCAUAUAUGAAAUAUUUACAAUUUGCUUUUCUAAUUUGAGGUUAUAGUUUGUGUCAAAGGUUGUUGGCCAUUUGUCAUCAAGCUUGCCUCGUUUUUGUUGAUUCCUCUGGCAAUACUUACAUG
This 619-nucleotide unclassified non-coding RNA is filed under the name Hevea brasiliensis (rubber tree). The record is from RNAcentral. Lineage: Eukaryota; Viridiplantae; Streptophyta; Magnoliopsida; Malpighiales; Euphorbiaceae.